Molecule: ribosomal RNA, 212 nt
Filed under: uncultured bacterium
Lineage: Bacteria
Description: partial 16S ribosomal RNA
Rfam family: Bacterial small subunit ribosomal RNA
Source: RNAcentral
UACGAAGGGGGCUAGCGUUGCUCGGAAUUACUGGGCGUAAAGCGCACGUAGGCGGCUUUCUAAGUCGGGGGUGAAAUCCUGGAGCUCAACUCCAGAACUGCCUUCGAUACUGGAGAGCUUGAGUCCGGGAGAGGUGAGUGGAACUGCGAGUGUAGAGGUGAAAUUCGUAGAUAUUCGCAAGAACACCAGUGGCGAAGGCGGCUCACUGGCCC